GUGUGCAGGGAUUUUUGCUACCGAUUCUCCGAACCACCCGCCGUCAUCACUACCGGAUCGGGCGAUCCGGUCCCAACCAGGAGCAUUUCACGCCCUGCUUGAUUGUUGUUGUGUUUUUUUGCAGACGUUUCCUGACCCAACUAGGUCACAUCAUCAGGGCUAAGAGGAAUGAGCUUUCAGCUUGAGAUUUCUCUCGCUGCUUCCAAGAAGUGCUUGAGGGACAAAUCCUGCUUUCUGCAGAGAACAGGAAGAGGGAUGCUUCUGGGAGCCCAAACGACCUUGUUCCUUGACACCCUUUUCAAACUUGGCUCUUCUCAGCAGGCCACCUACAGAUAGCGCAUGGCGUCCAAUGGCUGCUUUGCUGGAGAACAUGUGGCCUGGAAUCUCCUUGCUGUAUUAUGUUUUGGGGGAGUCCCCCCCAUCUCAACAUCUGGAUCCAACUAGCAGCAGCCAAUGCGGUUGUGACUGGAAGGGAGGGGGCUGCUUUCCUUCGUCCUGGCAUCCAACAAGGAACUGGGUAUGGCUACUCUGGUGAAGAGAAGGACUGGAGAAACUCUCUCUCAUCCAUGGCUGUGGCCCGUGGACCAGCAGAUGGCACUCAAGAGACGUUCCUGGACGUCUUGAUUUCUGUUGUUUAUCUCAGUGGCAAUACUUUAUAAUGCGGUUGCAAACUCUCUCCUCUUACUUGACAACCGAUCAUUUGAAAGAUCGUUACAACAACAAUGAAGUGGAGUCUGUUUUAUUAUUAA
Non-coding RNA from Pantherophis guttatus, 749 nucleotides. NCBI's taxonomy places the organism in Eukaryota, Metazoa, Chordata, Lepidosauria, Squamata, Colubridae. The record is from RefSeq and is a predicted model, not a curated record.